GGGCCGGCGGCCGCCGGGACCGCGGCUGGGCGGCAAGUCAGCCCGCUCCCGGGGCGAGGAGGGGAGAGACGGGGCGUCGCCGUUCAGAGCCGAGCGAGGAAGGAAAAGAGGCUCCCCGGGAUAGAGCUGGGAACGGGAUACUGACGGCUGACCAGACUUUGCGAGACUCCCCCCCUGCUUUCAAACCCGGCAACACUGACAUCGGUAGAAGAACCGCUGAAAAGACCGGGGCUCUGUAAUUACUGCUGUGCACCUCAUUCAGAGGGAAAGAGAGGAAGAGAGGAAUCAGCCCGGAGAGGCGGCGGCUUGACGGGGAAGAUGGCGCUCCGAGCCCCUGGGGCUCAGCUGCGCCGGAUUCCGGACUCUGUAAUUGAAUUUCAGUAACACUGCCCAGCCGCCUGGAAAGCCCAGCCUUGCACGGGGAGGGCUCUGCAGAUGGACGGGGGAAAGGAACACAAGUUUACUGCACAGUCCCCUCGCGGAGAGCUGGACUGAGAAUUGCAUACGGAGAAUCGUGACACCUUGUGGAUGAUGUGAGCAUACUGAUGCAAUAAGAAGAGAGAAGUCUUUAUGUGACCAGGUGCACAAACACUAAGCUACAGCCCCCAUGUACACAGCAGGGCGUGCUCUGGAGCGAUCUGAGGGAUAGCAGCUGUGCCCCACCUGGGAUUUGAACCUGCACCCUGGAGCGCAGGGCGGUGGGAAUGGAGAUUCCGGCCGGGAUGAGCUCUUUCCCCGCCCGAGUAUGCCAGUACGCCACAAGGGGGAAGAGAUGACACACAGGAAGGGGUGGAAAAGUCAUGCGGGUGAAAGAAACAGACAGACACCUACAAGUACAGGAAGAGCUCCGGGUGCA
Long non-coding RNA from Lepisosteus oculatus (spotted gar), 856 nucleotides. RefSeq lists it as uncharacterized. The record is from RefSeq and is a predicted model, not a curated record. NCBI's taxonomy places the organism in Eukaryota, Metazoa, Chordata, Actinopteri, Semionotiformes, Lepisosteidae.